UGUAAACGUCACUAGGGUUUAUCGUUUUAGGGUUUUGAUUUUGGGACAAAAUAACAACUCCAUCGUCUGUGAGAAUUCUUCCUCUGCAUUUCAGGUUUUCAGACAACACAUAGGGCAGGGAAGCCGCUUUCGCAAGUCACAGCCAUGGCAAGAGUCAAGGUUCACGAACUCAGAGGAAAUUCGAAGACCGAGCUUUUGAACCAGUUGAACGAUCUGAAAGCAGAACUCGCGCUGCUUCGAGUUGCCAAGGUCACUGGUGGAGCACCCAAUAAGCUAUCCAAGAUAAAGGUGGUUAGAUUGUCAAUUGCACAAGUUUUGACGGUGAUUUCUCAGAAACAAAAAGCGGCUUUGAGGGAAGCCUACAAGAAUAAGAAGUUCGUGCCUCUAGAUCUUCGUCCGAAGAAAACCAGGGCCAUCCGAAAACGCCUAACCGCCCACCAGGGUAUAAACGGUACAAGCAACAUUUGCUGAAUGCUGAUAUUGCUCCUUAUCACCCUAUAUGCAUCAAACUUGAACAAUGAUUCGAGGAUUCUAGUGAAUGUGCUCCAAGUGUCUCUUGCCAUGGCCUUUUCAUGCUUCUGCUUCUGCUUCAUUUAUGUAGUUCAAUGCAUGGAUACAAUUACUACCGGCCCGUUUGGAAGGACUGAGCUGAAGGGUUCAUCUAAGUUGGUUUGUGGGGGGAAUAGGGGUCUGGAAUCGAAAUCUGAAUUCCAAUUGCAACCAUUUGGUUGGGUGGAAUCGGAAUCUGAUUCCCAUUCCCUAUUUGAGGAAAUGGCCAUUCCCUCCCCUCCCUUUGGAAUGAGAAUCCUGUUCUCACCAAUUCCAAUUCUGAUUCCGAUUCCGAUUCCCAAACCAAACAGGCGGACAUCUUUGAAGACAAAACGGGAAGAGAAGAGGGAAAGGUAUUUUCCAAUGAGGAAGUAUGCCAUCAAGGUGUAGGGUGGGAACUAGUUGCCAAGGACGCGAGACACAUCCUUGAUGCUUUCAAAGUUUUCAAGGAUAGAAACAUCGAAAUUUGCACACUAUGCAUUAUUUCUCUACAUUUUUGUUUGACUAUUUCGAAAUGAGCACAAGUACUCGAGUUUCUUUAGUUUUUAAUUUGUCAUUUGAAUUUGAUUCGUUGAUCUUUCUUCAGUUGCAAAGUUCGCCAGUUUCAUUAUUGAUUGAGAAUCGAGACAUGUUAGGAUUGGGUCCUACUUGGAUAUAAUUCUUCUUUUUAUGAAUAUGGAUUUUGGGGAAACUUUGGAUA
This is an RNA transcript of Nelumbo nucifera (sacred lotus), 1249 nucleotides long. It is a transcript of the gene named large ribosomal subunit protein uL29-like, with no coding region annotated. The record is from RefSeq and is a predicted model, not a curated record. NCBI's taxonomy places the organism in Eukaryota, Viridiplantae, Streptophyta, Magnoliopsida, Proteales, Nelumbonaceae.